This 466-nucleotide ribosomal RNA is filed under the name uncultured bacterium. RNAcentral describes it as "partial 16S ribosomal RNA". It matches the Rfam family "Bacterial small subunit ribosomal RNA", at positions 29 to 507 of the family's 1533-position model. The record is from RNAcentral.
ACGAACGCUGGCGGCGUGCUUAACCCAUGCCAGUCGCACGGAAAGGCCUCUUUCGGGGGGUACUCGAGUGGCGAACGGGUGAGUAACACGUGAGUAACCUGCCCUUGACUUUGGGAUAACUUCAGGAAACUGGGGCUAAUACCGGAUAGGAGCUCCUGCUGCAUGGUGGGGGUUGGAAAGUUUCGGCGGUUGGGGAUGGACUCGCGGCUUAUCAGCUUGUUGGUGGGGUAGUGGCUUACCAAGGCUUUGACGGGUAGCCGGCCUGAGAGGGUGACCGGCCACAUUGGGACUGAGAUACGGCCCAGACUCCUACGGGAGGCAGCAGUGGGGAAUAUUGCACAAUGGGUGGAAGCCUGAUGCAGCAACGCCGUGUGCGGGAUGACGGCCUUCGGGUUGUAAACCGCUUUCGCUCAUGACGAAGCUUUGUGUGACGGUAGUGGGUAAAGAAGCACCGGCUAACUACGUG